GACUAGGGGCCCUUCUCGGGUUACCGAAUUCAGAUAAACUCCGAAUGCCAUGUACUUAUACUCGGGAGUCAGACUGCGAGUGAUAAGAUCCGUAGUCGAAAGGGAAACAGCCCAGACCACCAGUUAAGGUCCCCAAAUAUAUGUUAAGUGGAAAAGGAUGUGGGGUUGCUUAGACAACCAGGAUGUUGGCUUAGAAGCAGCCACCAUUGAAAGAGUGCGUAAUAGCUCACUGGUCGAGUGACCCCGCGCCGAAAAUGUACCGGGGCUAAACAUAUUACCGAAACUGUGGAUGAACCUCUUUAGAGGUUCGUGGUAGGAGAGCGUUCUAAGGGCGGUGAAGUCAGACCGGAAGGACUGGUGGAGCGCUUAGAAGUGAGAAUGCCGGUAUGAGUAGCGAAAGAAGGGUGAGAAUCCCUUCCACCGAAUAUCUAAGGUUUCCUGAGGAAGGCUCGUCCGCUCAGGGUUAGUCGGGACCUAAGCCGAGGCCGAUAGGCGUAGGCGAUGGACAACAGGUAGAGAUUCCUGUACCAGUGCUAAUUGUUUAACCGAUGGGGUGACACAGAAGGAUAGGGAAUCGCACGAAUGGAAAUGUGCGUCCAAGCAGUGAGUGUGAGAAGUAGGCAAAUCCGCUUCUCGCGAAGCAUGAGCUGUGAUGGGGAAGGAAAUUAAGUACGGAAGUUCCUGAUUUCACGCUGUCAAGAAAAGCCUCUAGGAAGAGUAGUACUGCCCGUACCGCAAACCGACACAGGUAGAUGAGGAGAGAAUCCUAAGGUGAGCGAGAGAACUCUCGUUAAGGAACUCGGCAAAAUGACCCCGUAACUUCGGGAGAAGGGGUGCUCUAUUAGGGUGCAAGCCCGAGAGAGCCGCAGUGAAUAGGCCCAGGCGACUGUUUAGCAAAAACACAGGUCUCUGCAAAACCGUAAGGUGACGUAUAGGGGCUGACGCCUGCCCGGUGCUGGAAGGUUAAGAGGAGUGCUUAGCUUCGGCGAAGGUACGAAUUGAAGCCCCAGUAAACGGCGGCCGUAACUAUAACGGUCCUAAGGUAGCGAAAUUCCUUGUCGGGUAAGUUCCGACCCGCACGAAAGGCGCAACGAUCUGGGCACUGUCUCAACGAGAGACUCGGUGAAAUUAUAGUACCUGUGAAGAUGCAGGUUACCCGCGACAGGACGGAAAGACCCCGUGGAGCUUUACUGCAACCUGAUAUGGAAUGUUUGUACCGCUUGUACAGGAUAGGUAGGAGCCGAAGAGACGUGUGCGCUAGCAUACGAGGAGGCAAUGGUGGGAUACUACCCUGGCUGUAUGACCAUUCUAACCCGCCACGCUUAGCGCGUGGGGAGACAGUGUCAGGUGGGCAGUUUGACUGGGGCGGUCGCCUCCUAAAGAGUAACGGAGGCGCCCAAAGGUUCCCUCAGAAUGGAUGGAAAUCAUUCGCAGAGUGUAAAGGCACAAGGGAGCUUGACUGCGAGACUGACAAGUCGAGCAGGGACGAAAGUCGGGCUUAGUGAUCCGGUGGUUCCGCAUGGAAGGGCCAUCGCUCAACGGAUAAAAGCUACCCCGGGGAUAACAGGCUUAUCUCCCCCAAGAGUCCACAUCGACGGGGAGGUUUGGCACCUCGAUGUCGGCUCGUCGCAUCCUGGGGCUGUAGUCGGUCCCAAGGGUUGGGCUGUUCGCCCAUUAAAGCGGCACGCGAGCUGGGUUCAGAACGUCGUGAGACAGUUCGGUCCCUAUCCGUCGCGGGCGCAGGAAAUUUGAGAGGAGCUGUCCUUAGUACGAGAGGACCGGGAUGGACACACCGCUGGUGUACCAGUUGUUCCGCCAGGAGCAUCGCUGGGUAGCUAUGUGUGGCAGGGAUAAACGCUGAAAGCAUCUAAGCGUGAAGCCCCCCUCAAGAUGAGAUUUCCCAUUUCUUCGGAAAGUAAGAUCCCUGAAAGAUGAUCAGGUAGAUAGGUUUGGAGUGGAAGUGUAGCGAUACAUGGAGCGGACAAAUACUAAUCGAUCGAGGACUUAACCAAAA
This 2014-nucleotide ribosomal RNA is filed under the name Listeria monocytogenes. RNAcentral describes it as "partial 23S ribosomal RNA". It matches the Rfam family "Bacterial large subunit ribosomal RNA", at positions 917 to 2925 of the family's 2925-position model. The record is from RNAcentral. Lineage: Bacteria; Bacillati; Bacillota; Bacilli; Caryophanales; Listeriaceae.